Molecule: ribosomal RNA, 435 nt
Filed under: uncultured bacterium
Lineage: Bacteria
Description: partial 16S ribosomal RNA
Rfam family: Bacterial small subunit ribosomal RNA
Source: RNAcentral
AACGAACGCUGGCGGCAUGCCUAACACAUGCAAGUCGAACGAUUGCCUUCGGGUGAUAGUGGCGCACGGGUGCGUAACGCGUGGGAAUCUGCCCUUAGGUUCGGAAUAACAGCUGGAAACGGCUGCUAAUACCGGAUGAUAUCGCGAGAUCAAAGAUUUAUCGCCUGAGGAGGCGCCCGCGUUGGAUUAGGUAGUUGGUUGGGUAAGGGCCUACCAAGCCGACGAUUCAUAGCUGGUCUGAGAGGAUGAUCAGCCACACUGGGACUGAGACACGGCCCAGACUCCUACGGGAAGCAGCAGUGGGGAAUAUUGGACAACGGGCGCAAGCCUGAUCCAGCAAUGCCGCGUGAGUGAUGAAGGCCCUAGAGUUGUAAAGCUCUUUUACCCGGGAAGAUAAUGACUGUACCGGGAGAAUAAGCCCCGGCUAACUCCGUG